GAAAGACAUUGAGGUGCCAGUAGAAAGGGACAGUCCAAUAUUUACUUGCCGUAAGUUGGAGGUUUAAACAAGAAGAGUAUUCCAAAGGUAAUCCGAGUCAGGGUAAGGAGAAUGGAGGUCAGCGGUUUAAACAGUCCAGGUUCGGUACACGUAUUCAGUAGAUUAGCGAGAUAGUUUGUAGCCAGUCAGAAGACAGGAAGCUUCAAAUUAAUCAAGAACUUUGAAUCUGGCACAGUUCCUCUAAGUAGCGUGGGGAAGCCGCAUCAGAGAAGGGGGUGUGUCAUUGGUCUGUGAACCCGGAAGUGUCAAAAAUCGUCAAGGCCACCAGCACGUCACUUAGCACCGCAGUUCGCAGAGGGGAAGGUACACCAUAUGACGACAGACCCGUACCG
This is a non-coding RNA of Pelobates cultripes (western spadefoot toad), 392 nucleotides long. Lineage: Eukaryota; Metazoa; Chordata; Amphibia; Anura; Pelobatidae. The record is from the annotation of a GenBank genome assembly.